AAAACGACUGGCUCAAGGCUCGCGGAUUUUCUUUAGAAGGAAACUUUUGUAUGUUUAAAUAUAAUUAACUCUCAAGGAUUUUUGGUUAAUUAGCCCGGUUAUGCUUCCAGAAUUAGACAGAACUAUGACGUUUCAAAGACGAAUCCCAUUGGACCUAGGGGCUGCUUUGGUUUUGUAUUAUUUAUGACCUGGAAUCAACUACUUUAAGGGCUGUGAUUCCCAGAACACUUUUUGUUUCAACUCUGGUACGUUCUUUCCUAUUCAGCAAAUAAAGAUUACAGUGCACCAUCCUUGGAUAAAACGUCCUCUCAGUACUAAAGCCAAAAUUCUUAAGUCUAGAUACCAUAGCUCAGUGAUCCAGAGACUAGUUAGUUCUCAGCCAAAAUUUUCCAUGGCUGCAAUUAAAUGGAGAAAUAAUUGGCUAGAGAGCAAACCAACAACUAAUGGGCAGCUGUGGGAGGACUGAGUUGUCAUCUCUGGUCUAGCAGAGAAAUUCUCUGAACCUGCAUGUAGGGUUACGUGGACCUGCAGUUUGCAUCCUGGAGGCUGUGGCUUCAUAACAGAAAGUGUGAAUUGUUGAACUGCUGACUCCAGUAUUUUUACCACAAGAAGCAAAUGCUGAAUUGCCCAUGCUCAGUGGCUUGUUGAGGCAAAAGCUUGAAAUGAAGAUGGAGUUCUGCCUCUGCAAACAAUAAAAAAAAAUAAAAAAAAUAUUGGUGAAGAGAAUAGUGUACAAAAGUCAGAUUUAAAACUCAUGCUAUUAGUACAGAAUUAGUCAGGAUUUAAUAACUUUACAUUUGAAAAAUUAAGGUGCUAUAACCUGACCAUAAUCCAAGAAUAAUGCAGAUAAUAGGAAAUAUCUCAGAUUUGACUAAUAAAAUGCUGGUUAACUUAAAUAAAUUAUAUUAAAGUCCAUUUAUUUAUUUAUUUAAAUGACAAGCAAAGAUAUUGUAAAUGCCUUUGAGUGAUCAGAAACACAUAACACAGUGUUUCAAGUAGGAUAACUUAAUACAUUAUGAGUGAUUCAAAAACCACUGUAAUGCUACAGUGGAACAAAGGCUUUGGAAUGCAGCAAUUAUGUGCCCUUUCUGGAUUUUGCUGCAUGCAUGUAUGGCAGUCCAGAGGCACAGCUAAUUUAAAUUAGCCAUGUAUUGUACCUCAGAAUAAUAUACUAUGAUCUGAAGCAAAGCAAUGGGAAUGCACACUAUCUUUUUACACUGUACUCUUAUCGUUGUCUCUGUCUCUGUUUAUGGUGGUGGUGAUGGUAGGCUGUUACUGCCAUAGCGGUUAGGUAUUGCAAGGCUGUGCAUGCAUGUCUGUGUGUGUGUGUGUGUGUGUGUGUGUGUGUGUGUGUGUGUGUGUGUGUGUACUUGUAGAGACAUGAUUAGGCUAUCUCAGUGUCUUUGUGUGCAUGUGACUAUUUGUCUGUGGAAUGUGAAUGUAAGUUGGAGUAUGCGCAUACCUCUCAACCUCUAAGAGCAAGAAAUUUGGACAAAGCCACACCAAUGUGGGGACAAAAGCC
Long non-coding RNA from Protopterus annectens (West African lungfish), 1522 nucleotides. RefSeq lists it as uncharacterized. The transcript has 4 exons. The record is from RefSeq and is a predicted model, not a curated record. Lineage: Eukaryota; Metazoa; Chordata; Ceratodontiformes; Protopteridae.